RNA transcript from Setaria italica (foxtail millet), 2702 nucleotides. It is a transcript of the gene named diacylglycerol kinase 1, with no coding region annotated. The record is from RefSeq and is a predicted model, not a curated record. NCBI's taxonomy places the organism in Eukaryota, Viridiplantae, Streptophyta, Magnoliopsida, Poales, Poaceae. The transcript is spliced from 8 exons.
UCGCCUUCCUUUCUCGCCGCAGGGAAUCGAAAGACAGCGCAGCGAGGGGGGAGGGAGGGGGGAAAGGGCAGCAGCGCCGGCCACAGCGAGCGCGUUCGAGGAUCAAAAUGUGAGGGCGAGCCGGUGGGCUCUGAUCGCCGAUUCGGGAGCCGCCGCCUCUCCGCCGGUGCGCUGAUCUCGGACACACAAGAUGCUGGAUACUAGCUGGAGUGCCGUUUCGGCCUACGUGUCGGAGUAUUGGUCUGUGAUAAUCGCCACCGCCGUGUUCGCUUGCGUUGGCGCAGCGACGAUCUACUACACGGUGAACCAGCUGAACAAGAACAUCAGCCUGAGCCUGAUAAAGGCUCUCAAGGUCAGGGCGAAGCGGUACAAGAAAUGGAAGGACAAGGUCCCCGCCGCGUCCCACGUCUGGAGGAAAGAAGUCGUCCCCCGCAGCAAAGGCCUGAAGUGCUGCGUGUGCCUGAAGUCAGUUUCGCCACGUCAGUACUCUGGGGGAACCAUCCAUCAGUGUGACAUCUGCGGUGCCGCCGCGCAUCCGAGCUGCUCGGGGAAUGCGCACGAGGAUUGCAAGUGUGUUUCUAUGGCGGGUUUGAACCAUGUCCUUCACCAGUGGGCUGUGCAGUGGAUUGACACCGCAGAUCACUCUGAGGAGGACUCUUUCUGUUGCUACUGCGACGAAUCUUGCAAUGGAGCUUUCCUCGCGGGGUAUCCGAUUUGGUACUGUAUGUGGUGUCAGCGGCUCGUGCAUGUUGAUUGCCACACCAGCUUAGCCAAGGAAACUGGCGAUAUCUGUGACUUGGGACCAUUGAAGCGGCUGAUACUGUCACCUCUUUGUGUUAAGGAGCUUCACUGGACAGGUGCAGGAAUUUUUAGUUCUAUCACAAGCGGGGCUAAUGAAUUGGCUUCCACUGUCCGAGAGACGAUUAUGAUUCGUAGAAAAAGGUACAAAAAGGGUACUGCAUCUGCUGAUUCAGAUAGCUCUGGGGCUAUUGAGCUACCAUCUGAUGCUGAAGGAGAUUCACAGGAAGCAAAUAGUGCAGCAAAGAGGAGGGAUGAUCAGGCAAACGGCAAACUCAAUGAGGUACACCAAAGCUCUGAAUCAGAGAAAGAUAAACAACCUGUACCAGAUAACACAGCUGCAACUAGUAGGUCAAAUGGACAACGUAAGAAUUCUCAUGUACAGAACAGUCAGAAGUAUGAAAUUGUCAACGUGCCUUCUGAUUCUAGGCCACUCCUCGUUUUCAUUAACAAGAGAAGCGGUGCCCAGAGCGGUGAUUCACUGAGACAGCGUCUGCAGAUCCUUCUUAACCCUGUGCAGGUUUUUGAGUUGAGCAAGCACCAAGGUCCAGAAGUUGGUUUAGCUUUGUUUCGGAAGGUAACACACUUCAGAGUUCUUGUAUGUGGUGGAGAUGGCACUGCUGGUUGGGUUUUAGAUGCCAUUGAGAAACAGAAGUUUGAAGCUCCGCCUCCUGUAGCCAUCCUUCCAGCUGGUACUGGUAAUGAUCUUGCGAGGGUUCUGUGUUGGGGUGGUGGCCUUGGUGUUAUUGAGAAGAGGGGAGGUCUAUUCUCAGUUUUGCAAGAUGUUGAGCACGCAGCAGUCACUGUUCUAGACAGAUGGAAGAUCACAAUUAAGGACAACCAAGGAAAGCUUAUGGCACCACCAAAAUUUAUGAACAACUACUUUGGGGUUGGUUGCGAUGCAAAGGUUGCCUUAGAUAUCCACAAUUUGAGGGAAGAAAACCCUGAGCGGUUUUAUAGCCAGUUUAUGAACAAGGUGCUUUAUGCAAGAGAGGGAGCAAAGAAUAUCAUGGAUAACACAUUUGAUUAUUUUCCUUGGGAUGUCAAACUUGAGAUAGAUGGAUCCAAAAUUGAUAUUCCUCAGGACUCUGAAGGUAUCCUUGUUGCCAAUAUCCGAAGCUACAUGGGAGGGGUUGACCUAUGGAAGAAUGAGGAUGAUUGCUCUGACGCUUACCUUCCUCAAUCCAUGCAUGACAAGAAGCUGGAAGUUGUUAGCUUCACAGGAAUGCUGCAUCUCGGAAGGCUGCAGGGCUUUCUCGUGCGAAAAGAUUAGCUCAAGGUCAUCAUAUAAAGAUUGAAAUCAGUAUUAAAAUGCCAAUCCAAGUGGAUGGAGAACCUUGGUCUCAGGAGCCGUGCACCAUAGAAGUUUCUCAUCAUAACCAGGCCUUCAUGCUGAAGAGAGUUUCCGAAGAACCUCUUGGUCAUGCCGCUUCCGUCAUGGCCGACAUCCUGGAAAAUGCUGAGAACAGCGGCAUCAUUUCAGCCUUGCAGAAGAGGACUCUGCUCCAGGAGAUAGCAUCUAGGCUCUUGUAGGACAGUACUAACGGUCCGCUUGUAGUUGUGUAGCUCACCCUAUAGCAUGUUCUCUUGUUUUUCAGCUGCCAGAGGCUUUCCUUCCAGGCUAGUAGUGAACUAUGCCUGGACGUUUGUACAUACAAGUCAUGGCAUUUUACGCCUGAUUUGGAUUGUGCUGUGUAUAAUUUCGUGUAAAAUUUUGUAUGCCCUAUUGGGAUGAGCAUAGUUGGUCAGGGCACUGCCAGAGCAUGGUACGCACUCAGUACUCAGUACUCUGUUGCCCUUGGUGAGUCUAGAUAACGUGUUUUUUUUCAUUUUUGUUGAUUGUUGAAAGUUCAAACUAAUGUUGAUCUCUGGGUUUUUAUUUUCACUUUUGCACAAAUUUUGCA